UGACCUCGAAUCAGGUAGGACUACCCGCUGAACUUAAGCAUAUCAAUAAGCGGAGAGAAC
Molecule: ribosomal RNA, 60 nt
Filed under: Calonectria reteaudii
Lineage: Eukaryota; Fungi; Ascomycota; Sordariomycetes; Hypocreales; Nectriaceae
Description: partial 28S ribosomal RNA
Source: RNAcentral